Molecule: ribosomal RNA, 497 nt
Filed under: uncultured bacterium
Lineage: Bacteria
Description: partial 16S ribosomal RNA
Rfam family: Bacterial small subunit ribosomal RNA
Source: RNAcentral
GAUGAACGCUGGCGGCGUGCCUAAUACAUGCAAGUCGAGCGAACAGAUAAGGAGCUUGCUCCUUUGACGUUAGCGGCGGACGGGUGAGUAACACGUGGGUAACCUACCUAUAAGACUGGAAUAACUCCGGGAAACCGGGGCUAAUGCCGGAUAACAUUUAGAACCGCAUGGUUCUAAAGUGAAAGAUGGUUUUGCUAUCACUUAUAGAUGGACCCGCGCCGUAUUAGCUAGUUGGUAAGGUAACGGCUUACCAAGGCAACGAUACGUAGCCGACCUGAGAGUGUGAUCGGCCACACUGGAACUGAGACACGGUCCAGACUCCUACGGGAGGCAGCAGUAGGGAAUCUUCCGCAAUGGGCGAAAGCCUGACGGAGCAACGCCGCGUGAGUGAUGAAGGUCUUCGGAUCGUAAAACUCUGUUAUUAGGGAAGAACAAAUGUGUAAGUAACUGUGCACGUCUUGACGGUACCUAAUCAGAAAGCCACGGCUAACUACGUG